This 304-nucleotide long non-coding RNA is filed under the name Setaria viridis. RNAcentral describes it as "long non-coding RNA (SVIR_LNC002977)". Lineage: Eukaryota; Viridiplantae; Streptophyta; Magnoliopsida; Poales; Poaceae. The record is from RNAcentral.
CAAAAAAUAAGCACAAUAUGAAAAAUAGAAUGACACAUAUGAACUUUAGCAUCUACAGAUGAUGAACAAACUCUAUCUUUCUAUCAGAGACUUGAGGCAUGCUAAUUUUCUGUCUAAAUUCGCAACCCACAAUUAUUCGCAUGCUGAUUUAUCCUUUUUAGUUUGUCAUUUCACAAAUUCACAUCCUAGUUUUAACCUUCCUUUUAAGCAGUUGAUGUGGCCGGUGGAGAGGCAGUAGAUGGCUGCAUCUAUCCAACUUGUCUUUUGCUUUCAGAAAAAUGUGUCCCGUGGGGAUUAACCCGUC